This 301-nucleotide ribosomal RNA is filed under the name uncultured bacterium. RNAcentral's name for it is "partial 16S ribosomal RNA". It matches the Rfam family "Bacterial small subunit ribosomal RNA", at positions 509 to 807 of the family's 1533-position model. The record is from RNAcentral.
CAGUAGCCGCGGUAAUACGUAGGGUACAAGCGUUAAUCGGAAUUACUGGGCGUAAAGCGUGCGCAGGCGGUUUGUUAAGACAGAUGUGAAAUCCCCGGGCUCAACCUGGGAACUGCAUUUGUGACUGGCAAGCUAGAGUGUGGCAGAGGGGGGUGGAAUUCCGCGUGUAGCAGUGAAAUGCGUAGAUAUGCGGAGGAACACCGAUGGCGAAGGCAGCCCCCUGGGCCAACACUGACGCUCAUGCACGAGAGCGUGGGGAGCAAACAGGAUUAGAUACCCCGGUAGUCCCUGUCUCUUAUAC